This is a long non-coding RNA of Pygocentrus nattereri (red-bellied piranha), 438 nucleotides long. The record is from Ensembl. NCBI's taxonomy places the organism in Eukaryota, Metazoa, Chordata, Actinopteri, Characiformes, Serrasalmidae.
AAGAACAGUGGCUGAUUAAGGAACUCCAUGCCAACUGCCAAGACUGUGGACUUGUUUUGGCUGCUGAUCCUCAUGUUGGUGUGCAGGUUGACUGAGGGCUCAUUUUCAUUCCGAAGUCUCUGUCAGCUUGGAACAGUAGCAGAACUCAACCAAAGGGAUGCACCAAUACGGGAAUUGUAAGCCAGUGCCAUAUCUGGAAUUGCACAGGUUCUACAUGGAUUAGAAAUACAGAGAAAUGUAACAUGUAUUUAUACAGGUUUAUAAAUGCAGUAAAAUGAAUAAAAUGUAGACAUGUUGGCGCAGUAUCCCAGUGUCACCUACACAUUCUGCUUUUUUUCAAUACCUCAAAUACAUCAUUACCUAAUGGUGAGGAAUAUUUGUCAAAUCUUUCCAAUGUUUAUCAUUUUUAUAAAGCAAUUUAUCAUUUUUAUAAACCUG